GGUUAAGGUUAGGGUUAGGUGUAGAGUUAGAUUUUAGGGUUGAUUAAGGGUUAAGGUUAGGGUUAGGUGUAGGGUUAGAUUUUAUGGUUGAUUAAGGGUUAAGGUUAGGGUUAGGUGUAGGGUUACAUUUUAUGGUUGAUUAAGGGUUAAGGUUAGGGUUAGGUGUAGGGUUAGAUUUUAUGGUUGAUUAAGGGUUAAGGUUAGGGUUAGGUGUAGGGUUUGAUUUUAUGGUUGAUUAAGGGGUAAGGUUAGGGUUAGGUGUAGGGUUAGAUUUUAUGGUUGAUUAAGGGUUAAGGUUAGGGUUAGGUGUAGGGUUAGAUUUUAUGGUUGAUUAAGGGUUAAGGUUAGGGUUAGGUGUAGGGUUAGAUUUUAUGGUUGAUUAAGGGUUAAGGUUAGGGUUAGGUGUAGGGUUAGAUUUUAGGGUUGAUUAAGGGUUAAGGUUAGGGUUAGGUGUAGGGUUUGAUUUUAUGGUUGAUUAAGGGUUAAGGUUAGGGUUAGGUGUAG
This is a long non-coding RNA of Astyanax mexicanus (Mexican tetra), 504 nucleotides long. RefSeq lists it as uncharacterized. The transcript is spliced from 3 exons. The record is from RefSeq and is a predicted model, not a curated record. Lineage: Eukaryota; Metazoa; Chordata; Actinopteri; Characiformes; Acestrorhamphidae.